UCUCGCAAUUGGCCACCAGUGGUGGUAGUUGGAAAUCUCCACUACAAACCAGGAUUUUUUUUUUCCUUUCUGGAGAACUAGUUGUUAAAUAUUGACCAGAGUACAUACCUGUGUCCUAAUGAGGGCAGCUGACAUUUAAAGCAUCAUGCCCUUCGGAGUUUCUCACAUGCCGAUCGCGAGCCCGCACAGUAUAAUUAGAUUCCCAGAUGCCUUUCCAUCACUUGCAAGGAGUGUCACAACCCAAAGUGGUCACAUGAGUGACGUCAUGCUCACCAGGAGCUGAUGCCAUCGAGUUUUCCAGAGGGCGAUGGGCAGCGGGACCCAGAGGACAGAGCCACAUCUCAGGCAGCCACAGUGUCUGGACUGGACCCACCCACCAGGCACCCAGCCUCAGGCCGAUGGGGAAGAGCCCACACGUCCGGAUCCAUCAGGAAAGGUUCACACACCUAGAUUUGUGUCCCGGGUCCAUCUCUCUUGCCAGGCUGACUUGCCAUCCAAUGGGUACAUUUUAUACUUUUCAUGCCACAGUGACAUUAUCCCAUUUAGAUUUCCUAACUACCGUUUGAAGGAGCUUUUCACUUAGGAUGCCGGAAGCUGAAAUAAGAGAUGACCCAAUUCGGAGUUAAUAAAGGGAAGUCGGAAGGUUUUUUUUUUAGCUCACAUGAAAAGAAGUCUAGAGAAAGGAUUUUCUCUGUCAUCUGCGUUGUCAAAUUGUUCCUUAAGCCUGGUAGCAAAGCCACUGGUGGUCACUGGGCCCUCUGGGCUGUGUCGUUCGUACCUGGGCCAGCUUUGCACGGCAGCGUUUUCCUCAGGGCAAGGAUGCUGACUUCCCAGGAGCCUGCAGUAAGGCCUCACUGGCACAGACUGGCUUGGGUGUGCUCGUUUCUGAACUGAUAUGGCCCAGGGAUAGACGGACAUCUUCGACAGGCUUAGACCAACCCGCCAGGCUGUGUAAGGCAUGGAGCCCUCCACCACAUCGUCCUCCGUACGUGUCCAUUUUCUGGAUCAAGG
Artibeus jamaicensis (Jamaican fruit-eating bat) is the source of this 1011-nucleotide long non-coding RNA. RefSeq lists it as uncharacterized. Lineage: Eukaryota; Metazoa; Chordata; Mammalia; Chiroptera; Phyllostomidae. The transcript has 4 exons. The record is from RefSeq and is a predicted model, not a curated record.